GAUGAACGCUGACAGAAUGCUUAACACAUGCAAGUCAACUUGAAUUUGGGUUUUUAACUUAGGUUUGGGUGGCGGACGGGUGAGUAACGCGUAAAGAACUUGCCUCACAGGUAGGGACAACAUUUGGAAACGAAUGCUAAUACCUAAUAUUAUGAUAAUAGGGCAUCCUAUAAUUAUGAAAGCUAUAAGCGCUGUGAGAGAGCUUGCGUCCCAUUAGCUAGUUGGAGAGGUAACGGCUCACCAAGGCGAUGAUGGGUAGCCGGCCCGAGAGGGUGAUCGGCCACAAGGGGACUGAGACACGGCCCUUACUCCUACGGGAGGCAGCAGUGGGGAAUAUUGGACAAUGGACCGAGAGUCUGAUCCAGCAAUUCUGUGUGCACGAUGAAGUUUUUCGGAAUGUAAAGUGCUUUCAGUUGGGAAGAAACAAAUGACGGUACCAACAGAAGAAGUGACGGCUAAAUACGUGCCAGCAGCCGCGGUAAUACGUAUGUCACGAGCGUUAUCCGGAUUUAUUGGGCGUAAAGCGCGUCUAGGUGGUUAUGUAAGUCUGAUGUGAAAAUGCAGGGCUCAACUCUGUAUUGCGUUGGAAACUGUAUAACUAGAGUACUGGAGAGGUAAGCGGAACUACAAGUGUAGAGGUGAAAUUCGUAGAUAUUUGUAGGAAUGCCGAUGGGGAAGCCAGCUUACUGGACAGAUACUGACGCUGAAGCGCGAAAGCGUGGGUAGCAAACAGG
Molecule: ribosomal RNA, 734 nt
Filed under: uncultured Fusobacterium sp.
Lineage: Bacteria; Fusobacteriati; Fusobacteriota; Fusobacteriia; Fusobacteriales; Fusobacteriaceae
Description: bacterial SSU rRNA
Rfam family: Bacterial small subunit ribosomal RNA
Source: RNAcentral